CUUCGGGUUGUAAAGCUCUUUCGCAAGGGAAGAAACGAUACUGGUGAAUAUCCAGUGUUAAUGACGGUACCUUGAUAAGAAGCACCGGCUAACUACGUGCCAGCAGCCGCGGUAAUACGUAGGGUGCGAGCGUUAAUCGGAAUUACUGGGCGUAAAGCGUGCGCAGGCGGUUUUGUAAGUCAGAUGUGAAAUCCCCGAGCUCAACUUGGGAACUGCGUUUGAAACUACAAGACUAGAAUAGGUCAGAGGGGGGUAGAAUUCCACGUGUAGCAGUGAAAUGCGUAGAGAUGUGGAGGAAUAUCAAUGGCGAAGGCAGCCCCCUGGGAUCAUAUUGACGCUCAUGCACGAAAGCGUGGGGAGCAAACAGGAUUAGAUACCCUGGUAGUCCACGCCCUAAACGAUGUCAACUAGUUGUUGGUAGAGUAAAAUCUAUGAGUAACGCAGCUAACGCGUGAAGUUGACCGCCUGGGGAGUACGAUCGCAAGAUUAAAACUC
This 495-nucleotide ribosomal RNA is filed under the name uncultured bacterium. RNAcentral describes it as "bacterial SSU rRNA". It matches the Rfam family "Bacterial small subunit ribosomal RNA", at positions 416 to 902 of the family's 1533-position model. The record is from RNAcentral.